GAUUUCAGCGGCUUCUGAGGAGCGUCUUCAAAAGGCGGCCCCGCGGGGCUGAGGCGCGUUGCUGACGCUAUUGUUGGAAUUCCCGCCCGGAGGCCUCCGCAGGCACCGUGUUGUGUGAGGCAGUCAAGCCAGACAGAGCGCAAAGGAAGAAGGAAAGGAGGACAUACAGAUGGGGAGGAGACAACAGCAAAGCUUCUCAAGGUUAUAUCUCAGCUGCCAAAAAUGAGACAGUGUGAAGAACAGAAACCAAUGCCAUGAGCAGCCCCAGAUGAAUCCUGUGAUGGCUCGUCUGUGAGCAGAAAGAUGAUAGUUACUCUCUUGAGCCAUACAAGUACGAGGCUGGCCCCAAUCCUUCCCGAUAAGCAUCAAAUGGCGACAACUAGCUACAAGAAAUUCCUCCAGCAACAGAAUAAGUAUUGGCACGACAAGAAGUAAUCUACUGAUGGGAAUAGAGGCACUGAAAAUCAUCCCCUGACUAGUCAAUCCCAAAUUCACCUGCAAAUCCUCAUCCUGACACAAUCAGGAAGAUGUCAAAUGCAGGCACAUCAUGGACAGAUCUUGUACAUCUUUUCAGCAAUUCACCUUGGCCCUGAGCUAGAAGGAACUCCUGUUAGAGGAGGAAGAUGUGCCUAAGGUGAACCACCAGAGGACUACCUUAUAGGUGCUCAAGAUGCUCCAAUUGAUGGAAGUAUUCAAAGGUGAAGCCACAGAGCAUGGAAGUAAACACUUCAAAAUGAGAGCAUGAAAAUCUGGACUGACAUGGACGGGGGAUGGGAUUUUGUCUGAGAGGUUCACAUACUAAGAGGAAAAAAUAUGUCCACGGAUUCUUAGGUAAGUUCUAUAAUAUAAUUAUUUCUAAGAAUUACAUGAAGCCAAUUCUUACCUGGAGAAACGGUUGACUGUACCUGCUCCCCAUGAACUUCAACAACAACAACAAAAAUCUGUUAGAAAGAUAAUGAAACAAACUCUACUUUGGGUGAGAAAAAAAAAAAUAGGUAAUCACAUGCGAAGUUGAUUCCUUUCUAAGCUCUUAACACACGUUGGUUUAAUUCUCAGAACAACCUGGUAAGGUAAGUACAAAGUAUCCCAUUUUACAUAGGAGGAACUUAGGCUCAGAGAGUUUCAAUGUGUUUGUAAAGGUCAUUAUCUUAUCUAAAGUUAAGAGUCAGUAAGUGGCAGAGCCCAAAGUAAUACUGAGAUCUAACUAAUUCCUAAAUCUCUCUUACUUCAUGUCGCAUUUCUUUCUUCCAAAGUAAGUGGCUUUGUUCUGACUGCCCAGAGAUAUGCAUAUUCUGUAAUUACGGUCAGAUAUAGAAAAUGUUAACUCAUGUGAAGUUGAAAAGGUUUUUAAGAGGUAAAAUGUAUUUUUACAUGUCCUUUCGUUUGCUUAUGUGAUGUUUCUAAAACUUUCCCUGGGUUUAGAAUGUGUACCUUCCUAAUGUGGUUAAGACACAAUGGAACAUUGGUAAAUAAAGCUUUUAUUAGGCUCCUGUAAAGUGCCCUGGAGGGAAAAAACAUUCUCUGUGACACCAUCACUCUACUCUAUCCUCAGACAUUCUUGUCAUCUUAUUGCGCAGUUUCUGGACAGAUUUUAUAGUAGUCAUUAGUUCAGUUAUUGACACUCAAAGAAAAAAUUGGUAAUCCAAGUAGUUCAGGUAAUAAGUUUUAUAAUAAUUUUAUAAUAAAGUAACUGAUUUUUGUAACGAGUUAUGUAACAAAUUAGCUCUCUGAAGAAGUUAAACUUAAAAUCGAAACAUACAUUUAUUGAAAAAUCAGUAUGUUUAAAUAUGCUAUAAAAACAAAUUUGAUACAAUUAAAUUUGAUACAUUUUAAAAAUAUUUGAAUCUCAGUGAACUCAAAACUUCUGGCAGAUUUUUUCCUGACCCUAAAUUUUAUUAUUUAGAUCAUUGUCUAUAUUUCUACUCUAGGUCUGGUCUUUCAUGUCCUGACUAUGGCAUAAGGUUCAGUAAAUCGUUUGUUUGUUUAUAGUUGAUUUACAAUGUUGUGCCAAUUUCUGUUGUAUAGCAAAAUGACUCACUCAUACAUAUAUAUAUAUACAUACUUUUUAUAUUAUUUUCCACUAUGUUCUGUCUCAGGAGAUUGGAUGUAGUUCUCUAUGAUACACAGUAGGACCUUAUUGUUUAUCCAUUCUAAAUGUAAUAAUUUGCAUCUACCAACUCCAAGUUUCUAGCACUGCCCACUCCCUCCCCUCUGCCCCUGGCAACCACAAGUUUUUCUCUAUGUUUGUGAGUCUGUUUCUGUUUUAUAGAUAGGUUCAUUUGUGCUAUAUUUUAGAUUUUGCAUAUAAAUGAUAUCAUGGUAUUUGUCUUUCUCUUUCUGUCUUACUUUACUUUGUAGGAGAAUCUCUAGUUUUCACCCAUGAUGCUGCAAAUGGCAUCACUUCAUUCUUUUUUUUUGGCUGAGUAGUAUUCCAUUAUGUGUAUGUACCACAUUGUCUUAGUCCACUCAUCUGUCGAGGGGCACUUAAGUUGUUGCCAUGUCUUGGCUAUUGUGAAUAGUGCUACUGUGAACAUAGGGGUACAUGUAUUCUUUUUUUUUUUUUGUCUUUUUGUCUUUUUCUACGGCCACACCCAUAGCAUAUGGAGGUUCCCAGGCUAGGGGUCUAAUUGGAGCUGUAGCCACUGGCCUACACCACAGCCACAGCAACGCCAGAUCUGAGCCAUGCCUGCGACCUACACCACAGCUCAUGGCAAUGCUGGAUCCCUAACCCACUGAGCAAGACCAGGGAUCGAACCUGCAACCUCGUGGUUCCUAGUCAGAUACGUUAACCACUGAGCCACAACAGGAACUCCACAUGUAUCUUUUUGAAUUAUAGUUUUGUCUGGAUAUAUACCCAGGGAUGAGAUUGCUGGCUUAUGUGGUAGUUCUAUUUUUAGUUUUCUGAGGAAUCUCCAUGCUGUUUUCUAUAGUAGUUGCACCAACUUACAUUCCCACCAACAUUGUAGGAGGGUUUCCUUUCCUCCAUACCCUCUCCAGCAUUUGUUAUCGGUAGAUGGACAUUCUGACUGGUUUUAGGCGGUACCUCAUUGCAGUUCUGAUUUGCAUUUCUCUAAUAAUUAACUAUGUUGAGCAUCUUUUCAUGUGCCUACAAGGCUCAGUAAAUCUUUAUUGAUAUCUACCUAUUUUAUUUGUCUGAUGGAGAAGCCAUGCUACACUAAAUUACACCAGAACAGGAAAGAGAAGAUCUCUUUGGAACUACUACAAUGAGGAAAUAACAUUGGAAACUAUUAAGCUUUUUUAAUUACUAGUUAAAAUUUAUUAAAGCAAGAACUUUGUCUCAUCCCAUAGGAUCUAAGAUAGUCCGUGGUACAAAGUAAGUCUUAGUGGCUGGUUUGUGUUACACAGUUCUGAAAGGUCUGUAAUUUGUGCAUAAUGGAGAUCUAUGAUUUCAUGGACUAAAAGAUUCUACUGUAUCUAAUCUUGUAGAGGUAAUAUUUUUCUUUGGAACAUUCUCUGGUUGAUGGUCUUCAACAACUUUCUACUCCUAUUCCAAUAAAAAUAAAUCAUAAGUGAAUAACAAUAUUAAAUUAUUCUUUAGUUUCCAUUACCAGGGAGCACUCUAAGCAAUAUAUGGAAACAUAAAAGGAAAAGGCAGUUUCUAAGUUAAUGACAAUUUAAACUAUGUAGCACUUUUAAGACAAAAAUUUUAAAAAUGCAGAUAUACAUUUAUAUAUAUUAAUGUUAUUUAUAUGUGUUUUAAUAUAUACUUUCUAAAGUAUUUGCAUUUUAAUCUGGUUCCUUCCUCUCUUCCUUUUUUAAAAUCUCUCAUUCUCCUCACAUGUGUAAACAGCAGAAAUAGGCAUGUGAGAAGUAUCACAAACCUGUAGACAUUUUCACUCACCUCUGUGAGUGAAUAAAUAGGGAAAGCACUUGUGUUUGCUGUACAUGUAUUACCUAUGAACUUGAACCAUAUAAAAUUGUACUUUUUCUAGAUUAAAAUGGUCAGAUAUUGACUAGUUCAUAGAGUUCAGGUAAUAUAUUACAAAUUUCGUUCCACUGGUGUUCUGUGAUAAUAAAAUAUUUCCUCCUCUUUUUUAUGUUUAAUGAAACUAUACUCAGUGUAUACAGAACUGCUCAUAAUUCUAAAGCUGAUUGGUAUUCUAUUUUCUGGUUUGGUUAACUCAAUCAGUUAAGACACUAUACUACUGAGCCAUUUAAUUUAUCAAUAAAAUAUCUGCAAAUGUGGGUUUUUAAUUACAAAGAAGAGCUAAUAAAGGGGUAUGGAUUUUUCCUUGUCCAUCCAAGGUUUAUUUCUCUUAUAGUAACUUCUUCCUCCAUUAUUUUCCCUAAUAUCCCGAAGUAUAAACUUUCAUCUCUCUCCAUUUAAUGCAAAUUUCAGCCCUCCUACCAACUCUUUACUGCUUAUUAGAGAAGUCAUGGCUCAGGAAAAAAAUUAAUAGUCCAUAGUUUGCACAUUUUUAAGAGUUUUUUUUUUCAAAACUAAAUUUAAAAAUGUGGUUGGAGGUGUUUUCAUAAGGAUAAAUGAAUUUCUUAAGACAUUUUCAUUGUAGCAUUUAUUAUUUUUUAUUUCUCAAAAUAUUUUCUUUAAAUUAUGCAUGAUGAUUAUGUUUAUGCAAAUAUUCCUAAAUAUGAUGCAAGUUAGUCCCCUAUAAUCCAUAUGCAUAAUAUAUCAUAAUUUUCUUUUGCUCCACUUGUCACAUUUAUAAUCAAAUACUUACUUGUAAUAUUAUUUUGAAUUAUAUAUUGAGAGAAAAUAUGUAUUCAUUAAUGAAGAUUUAUUAAUUAUGAAUUAAUUACUGCAGUAAAUACAGAAACUUUUACAGUGCCAGACACAUAAUAGGUGCUUAUACUUUCUGACUAAAUAUCUGGAUGAUUGAAAUAGUAUAGUAUAAAUCAAAAUACAAAGGCACAUAAUUGUGAAAUUGGAUCAUGAAAAUGCUAACUUUCUUGAGCAGGUAAAACUCAAAAAAAAAGGAAACACAAAUGGUUAAUAAUUCUACAAGAAAAGGUUAAACCUAACUAAUGAUUAAAGAAUUAUAAAUUAAAGCAACAAAAUGCCAUUUUUACUUAUCAGAUUGGCAAACUUUAAAAUGGUUGAUAAUAUCUAGUGCUGGUAAGAAUGUGGUGAAAUGUUUAUGCUUGUAUGCCUUUGGAGGCAACAUAAAUUAGUGCGGCUCUUAAGAGAAAUUUGCCUUAUCUUUUAAUAUUUAUAGUUACUGUCUAAUGACUCAGCAAUCAUGCUUAUAGGCAUUUAUCCUAUAAAUCUAUUCAGGCAAGUGAGAGGUGAUACAUGCCCCAGUUUGUAUAUUGUAGUAUUUCAAAAAAUGAAGGGAAAAAGCUAGAAACAGUAAACAUUUUACCAUUUUUUUGAAUAAAACUCACAACUAUUGAAGCUAAUUUCUUUUAUGCUUAUUGAAGAGAGAGGAUUUGGGAAUGAGAGGAUGAUUUUUCUUCUAAAAUAUCCUUUAUAUACAUAUAUUCUGUCAAAUGGGCUGCAGCCUUUUAUUACUGUAGAUAAUUGUAUUAUUUGUUAUUGAUCUUUCUUCAGAUGACAACAUUUAUUAUUUUUACAGAAAUUGUGUAAAUGAGGAAAACUGUAAAAAGAUUUUUCCUCUCAGUUUAUUUUGCGGCAAGUGUCAGUCUUUACUGUGAAUGUAAAUUUCAGGGUUAAAAUUAAUAAUCCUAGAAGGAGAAGUGCAAAUCAUACAACCUCCUCUCUUACCCAGGUAAAAGUUUAAGGAAAACACAAAUGAAUCACGCAUUUCUGUAUAAUCUGUGCUUUUGUCAAAAGGUUGCCAUGACUCAUUUAUGACUUUCCAUAGUUUUAAAACCAGUGUUUUUAACCAUAGAAAAUCUACUUCAUGGUCCUAUUAUGACAACUGUUGAGUCAAUAAUAGACUCUUUAGUUCAUGCAUGGAUGUUUUUGUAGAAAUAAACCAAGUACAACUGUCCCUUGCUAAUACUCCAUGAAGCGGAAUCCUAAACAAAGAAAGAGAGAGAUUAUAAAACCAAGUUCUCCUACAUGCAUUACUUUGGGUGCUAUAUACUGUGUGGGGUGCCAGAGAUACCACCUCAUUUGAUUGUCAUAGCUCCCUGAAGGAUCAGCUACAGCUCAAGGAUCAAGUAGCUGCUAAGAAUGCAAAGGACUAGAUUUGAACCCAAAUUCAUAUGAUUUCAAAUAUCACUUACAGGUCCAAAUGACCAGGCAGUCCUGACUUAAUUCAGUGCAACAUCUGUUCUUUCUUUUAGCUAGCCCCACAGUGAUCAGGAUCAGAUCUUUGGGACAGUAUUCUGUGAAAUAAAUGCUUUGCUACUCAGUUAUAAGCAGCGUACCCUGGCAUUGAGAUAGAAACAAUAUUUAUGGAUCAUUCUAAUGUAUCGUUUUAACCAGUGGUCUUAUUGUGGUCCUACGUAUGAUUGAAAGAAAAGAGAUAGGAGUUCCUAAUAUGACUUGGCGUAAGAAACCUGACUAGUAUCCAUGAGGAUGCAGGUUUGAUCCCUGGUCUCGCUCAGUGCAUUCAUGAUCUGGCAUUGCAAUAAGCUGUGGUGUAGAUUGCAGACGCAGCCCUAGUCCUGUGUUGCUGUGGCAUACAUAGGCCAGAAGCUGCAGCCCUGAUUUGACCCCUAACCUGGGAACUUCCAUGUGCUACAGGUGUGGCCUUGAGAGCAAUAAAUAAAUAAAUGAAUAAAUAAAAAGUCCUCUGGAUUUCCAACAUUGGUAAUAAUAAACACCCCUUUAAAAAGUGGGCAUUACCUGUGGGUAUUCUUUUGAAGUCAUUCUUCUCUAGAGGGAUUGCAUUAAAUGAAUUGACUUUGACUUGGCCACGAAGAGAGGAAAACUUGCUUCAAUAAUUCAGAAUAUUUCAGGAGCUUAAUUCCUCAAGAAAAUAUUUUAUUUGCCUCAUUUUUCCUUUGAGGUCCCUUUCAAGCUGCAUACUUUAUUUUAGCUCUCAAUUCAUUUCAUUUUGUGUAGAAAGAAUAGUAAUAAUAAAAAAAGGACACUGCAGAAAUUGAGAUAAUACAGCUGUUUCUACUACCAUGUCUUUAUGUCUCUUUAAAAGCAACAAAAGGCUCAUAAACAUUAGAAUUAACUGAGAGUGAAAUCCCAUCUCUUAGCCAUAUAUCACAUUUCUUAUAUCAUAGCACUUACUUAAAAGUCAUGUUACUGUUUUCUUUAACUCAGAAGCUCUGACUCAAGAAUAAUAUGCCCCUAACAUGACUGAUGUGUCUCUUAUAACUACAUAGGGUAAAAGCUUAAACUAUUGUGUGUGCCUGGAGUUGCUGCUCUAUCAUCUUAGUUAAUUUUCUUCAUGUCCCAUGUUUUGUUGUCUCUCAUAAGUGACUGUAUUUAAGAAAAAGAGAAAAUUGGGUGUGGUUAUUUAUGCAGGUCCUAUGGUUAAUACACUCCUAAAGUAGGUACCUGCUAUCUUUAUUACUGCAAACACCAGAUUCUAUGGUUCAUGUUUGGAAAGAAAAGAAUAAACAAUUUUAGCAUACAAAAUUGAGAUGAAUUGCAACUCUAUGGUUUGAGCAAUUUGAAUUCUUAAGAUACAUGUCCUAGUUAUAUAUUGAGAGGUUUAUUAAUUAAACCCAGCUUGAUCUCUGGACCUCAUGUGCUAAGAACUUUAAUUUGAAGGCUUGCCUACUUUGCUUUUGAUGCCACUUAGGGUCCAAAAUUAUUGUACUGAAAUAGUUCUCAAACCCUGAUUCACCUUUAAUGAGGAGAAAUCACAUUAUUAGAUCAUCCAAACACUUCUAUUUACCAGUCACAUCUUGUCACAGCUUUAGUAGCAGCUGUCCACAGAUAUAAGUUUUCACAAAUGAAAAAUCAGGAUAGGAAAGGCAGGUGUCACCUAGAAAAUCUUGAACUCUUUCCAAGAGGCAUUUUGUUGAAUUGCUAAACUGAUAAACUUAGGUUCUCUCACAAGGCUCCAGGGAGGAGCUCAUCAAGCACGUGGUAGCUCCCCGCCCCCAACAGCCAUCAUUAAGUAGAAACCCCUAAGUUUAGAAAAAUAUAAAAUGUUCCUAUCAGUCACGAUUCUUAAGAAAGCCCAUUCGAAUUGUGAUUAAGUUAAAUAGGAAGCCCCUGAAAUUCAAGUCUGCAUAUUUUUUUCUUAGAGCAAAUGUUUUUAAUUUAAUCAAAGAAGAAAAUGAAAAAGACAUGUCUUUCAUAUUUACCAAUGCCUUCAUUUGUUUUCAGAUGCCUCCUCCUCCUACCUCUUAAAUUCAGAUAUUUCUUGAGGAUCCUCAUUGUAGGUGCCUCUUUGAAAGGCUUUCACUUCCUACUCAACUAGCAUCUCUGCAUACAGCACUCCAGGUCAUAAUCUUUGCUCUUUUUGGGAUCCACAUUCUGAAUAUUUAUUGGCUAUGGAUCCAAUUCUGCCACUAAUUUUACUUUUUAAAUUACUCAUGAAGCAGCUCCUGUUAUAAGCACUUUACGUGCAUUUGCUCAUUUAAGUCUUACCACAAUAGUAAAGAGUACAUUAUGGUUCUUGAUGUACAGAAAGGGAAACAGAAACUUAAAGAAAGGUUAAGAGGAAGCUGCUCCAAACUGACCCAGCUAGUGAGAGACAGAGCUGGGACUUCAGCCUAGGUGGUUCUUCCUCGAAAGCCUGUGAGCUUGACCACUGGGCUGUUGGAAAUCACUUUUCUCACUCUGGUUUGAAACCUGAGGUGAAUCUUUGACAUUUUCUUUUAUUGUUUACUUGCUAGACUACAGGCAAAAUAAAGAUACAAUUUUGGGAGUUCCUGCUGCGGCUCAGCAGAAACAAAUCCCACCAGUAUCCGUGAGGAGGAUGUGGGUUUGAUCCCUGGCCUCACUUGGUGGGUUAAGGAACCAGUAUUGUCGUGAGCUAUGGUGUAGGUUGCAGACAUAGUUUGGAUCUGGCAUUGCUGUGGCUGUGGUGUAGGCCAGCAGCUGCAGUUCCAAUUAAACCCCUAGCCUGUACCUCCAUAUGCCACCGGUGUGGCUCUAAAAAGAAAAAAAAAAAAAA
Molecule: long non-coding RNA, 8975 nt
Filed under: Sus scrofa (pig)
Lineage: Eukaryota; Metazoa; Chordata; Mammalia; Artiodactyla; Suidae
Description: lncRNA (ENSSSCG00060033316.1)
Source: RNAcentral